AGAGUUUGAUCAUGGCUCAGGAACAACGCUGGCGGCGUGCCUAAUGCAUGCAAGUCGAACGGGAGCUUCUUCGGAAGUCGACCGUGGCGGACGGGUGAGGAACACGUGGGGAACCCAUCCACGCGCGGGGGAUAACGGCGGGAAACCGCUGGUAAUACCGCAUACACUUCCAGCCUCAUAGGGGAUGGAAGCAAAGGUCGAGAGACCGUGCGUGGCGGGGCCUGCGGCCUAUCAGCUUGUUGGGGGGGUAGUGGCCCACCAAGGCGAUGACGGGUAGCUGGUCUGAGAGGACGAUCAGCCACACGGGGACUGAGACACGGCCCCGACUCCUACGGGAGGCAGCAGCAAGGAAUUUUCCGCAAUGGGCGCAAGCCUGACGGAGCGACGCCGCGUGGGGGAUGACGCAUUUCGGGGUGUAAACCGCUUUUCUUGGGGACGACGAGCGACGGUACCCGAGGAAGAAGGACCGGCUAACUACGUGCCAGCCGCCGCGGUAAUAC
Molecule: ribosomal RNA, 500 nt
Filed under: uncultured bacterium
Lineage: Bacteria
Description: bacterial SSU rRNA
Rfam family: Bacterial small subunit ribosomal RNA
Source: RNAcentral